Onychostruthus taczanowskii (white-rumped snowfinch) is the source of this 394-nucleotide long non-coding RNA. RefSeq lists it as uncharacterized. The transcript has 3 exons. NCBI's taxonomy places the organism in Eukaryota, Metazoa, Chordata, Aves, Passeriformes, Passeridae. The record is from RefSeq and is a predicted model, not a curated record.
GCCAGGCCGUCAGCCCCGUUUUUCCCCCUGCCCUAUUAAACCAACAGCUGCAGGAGCGGCAGCAUGUGUCCUGUUUGCAGCGCUGAAAUGAUACCAGGACACUUGGGCACGGAUGGAGGAGAGCGGAUGGUGCCCCGGUGCGCUGAAGGGCUGAACAAGGAUCACUGCUCCUGUAAAGCUGUAUGCAGGCAGCAUCAAGAGAGAAUAGGAUUUGUUGCACCAACACUGAACCAAGACUAAGCUUCAGCCCAUUAUAUGGAACUGCUGAAAGAUGCUUCACAGUUGUGUGCGUGAUCUGGUAGGAUGGUGAGACUACCACAUCUCCUUGGAUAAGUAUCAGAACUUCAACUUGAACAAAUCUGGAUUAAGUUCUACUCAUUUUAGAGGAGCCCUC